This 488-nucleotide ribosomal RNA is filed under the name uncultured bacterium. RNAcentral describes it as "bacterial SSU rRNA". It matches the Rfam family "Bacterial small subunit ribosomal RNA", at positions 30 to 512 of the family's 1533-position model. The record is from RNAcentral.
AUUGAACGCUGGCGGCAUGCCUUACACAUGCAAGUCGAACGGUAACGGGCCUUCGGGUGCCGACGAGUGGCGAACGGGUGAGUAAUGCAUCGGAACGUACCUUUCAGUGGGGGAUAACGUAGCGAAAGUUACGCUAAUACCGCAUAUUCUGUGAGCAGGAAAGCAGGGGAUCGCAAGACCUUGCGCUGAUUGAGCGGCCGAUGUCAGAUUAGCUAGUUGGUGAGGUAAAGGCUCACCAAGGCGACGAUCUGUAGCGGGUCUGAGAGGAUGAUCCGCCACACUGGAACUGAGACACGGUCCAGACUCCUACGGGAGGCAGCAGUGGGGAAUUUUGGACAAUGGGGGCAACCCUGAUCCAGCCAUGCCGCGUGAGUGAAGAAGGCCUUCGGGUUGUAAAGCUCUUCGGUCCGGGAAGGAAAUCGCAUGGGCUAAUACCCUGUGCGGAUGACGGUACCGGCAUAAGAAGCACCGGCUAACUACGUGCCAGC